CGGCCAAUCGGAAUCCGGGAAAGGGGCGGGACUUCCCCUUUAAACUGAGUGCUACUUUUCCUCUCCAGCUGGAGAAGCUGAAAGAUUCGGCUGGGACGGCUGAGGAGGUUAAUCCUCCCCACCUGGGUGCCAGAGGUUAGCGUCUACACAGACACCGGGGUCCGGCUUAGCCUGCAUUCCAAAGAGCUGAGUUCCUAAAAACAAAACAGAGGAAAAGAAAACCAGUAAUCUCAAAUAUAGUAUCUGACCACUUCAAGGGAGAAGUUUUCCUCUCUAGAAGCAGGGCCCCCAUUUAUCUUCCUUGUCCUACCUUCAGUACCUGAUUCCAGUUUCAGCAUGUCUGUUUCUUCUACCACCUACUGAGUUCAUGACAUCUGCUAUAGGAAGCUGUUAAUGACAUU
Long non-coding RNA from Fukomys damarensis (Damara mole-rat), 401 nucleotides. RefSeq lists it as uncharacterized. The record is from RefSeq and is a predicted model, not a curated record. The transcript is spliced from 3 exons. NCBI's taxonomy places the organism in Eukaryota, Metazoa, Chordata, Mammalia, Rodentia, Bathyergidae.